GUGGGGAAUUUUGGACAAUGGGCGCAAGCCUGAUCCAGCCAUGCCGCGUGUCUGAAGAAGGCCUUCGGGUUGUAAAGGACUUUUGUCAGGGAAGAAAAGGCAGUUGCUAAUAUCGAUUGCUGAUGACGGUACCUGAAGAAUAAGCACCGGCUAACUACGUGCCAGCAGCCGCGGUAAUACGUAGGGUGCGAGCGUUAAUCGGAAUUACUGGGCGUAAAGCGAGCGCAGACGGUUUGUUAAGCAGGAUGUGAAAUCCCCGAGCUCAACUUGGGAACGGCGUUCUGAACUGGCAAGCUAGAGUAUGUCAGAGGGGGGUAGAAUUCCACGUGUAGCAGUGAAAUGCGUAGAGAUGUGGAGGAAUACCGAUGGCGAAGGCAGCCCCCUGGGAUAAUACUGACGUUCAUGCUCGAAAGCGUGGGUAGCAAACAGGAUUAGAAACCCUAGUAGUCC
Molecule: ribosomal RNA, 450 nt
Filed under: uncultured bacterium
Lineage: Bacteria
Description: bacterial SSU rRNA
Rfam family: Bacterial small subunit ribosomal RNA
Source: RNAcentral